CCAGCACCCGCGGUAAUUCCAGCUCCAAUAGCGUAUAUUAAAGUUGUUGCAGUUAAAAAGCUCGUAGUUGGAUUUGUGGUUGAGGUGUCCGGUCCGACACAUUUUGUGUGUGGGUACUUGGACGGCUCGUCCAUCCUUGGGUGGAAUCUGUGUGGCAUUAGGUUGUCGUGCAGGGGAUGCCCAUCUUUUACUGUGAAAAAAUUAGAGUGUUCAAAGCAGGCUUAUGCCGUUGAAUAUAUUAGCAUGGAAUAAUGAGAUAGGACCUUGGUACUAUUUUGUUGGUUUGCGCACCGAGGUAAUGAUUAAUAGGGACAGUUGGGGGUAUUCGUAUUCCAUUGUCAGAGGUGAAAUUCUUGGAUUUUUGGAAGACGAACUACUGCGAAAGCAUUUACCAAGGAUGUUUUCAUUAAUCAAGAACGAAAGU
This 424-nucleotide ribosomal RNA is filed under the name uncultured Tabularia. RNAcentral describes it as "SSU rRNA". It matches the Rfam family "Eukaryotic small subunit ribosomal RNA", at positions 567 to 990 of the family's 1831-position model. Lineage: Eukaryota; Bacillariophyta; Fragilariophyceae; Fragilariales; Fragilariaceae. The record is from RNAcentral.